UGAAUACGAGACGCUAAGGCGUCGAAGUAGUGUAUGUCAUACUUCCAAGAAAAGCUUGCACUGUCAUAGAUAAAAAACGCCUGUACCAUAACCAACACAGGUGGGUAGGUAGAGUAUACUAAGGGGCGCGAGAUAACUCUCUCUAAGGAACUCGGCAAAAUGACUCCGUAACUUCGGGAGAAGGAGUGCCUUAUUCUUAAGGUUGCAAUAACAAGAUCCAAGCAACUGUUUAUCAAAAACACAGGUCUCCGCUAAGUCGUAAGACGAUGUAUGGGGGCUGACGCCUGCCCAGUGCCAGAAGGUUAAAGAAGUUGGUUAGCAUUUGCGAAGCUGAUAACUGAAGCCCUGGUGAACGGCGGCCGUAACGAUAACGGUCCUAAGGUAGCGAAAUUCCUUGUCGGGUAAGUUCCGACCCGCACGAAAGGCGUAAUGAUUUGGAUACUGUCUCGGAGAGGGGCUCGGUGAAAUAGACUUGUCUGUGAAGAUGCGGACUACCUGCACCAGGACAGAAAGACCCUAUGAAGCUUUACUGUAACUUGAAAUUGAAAUUGGACUUUAUUCGCGCAGUAUAGGUGGGAGGCGUUGAUUAUAAUCUUGCGGGAUUAUUGGAGCCAUCAGUGAGAUACCACCCUUGUAAUGUUAGAUUUCUAACUUUGAAUCAUUAUCUGGUCAAAGAACAGUUUCAGGCGGGCAGUUUGACUGGGGCGGUCGCCUCCUAAACGGUAACGGAGGCGUACAAAGGUUUCCUCUGAACGGUUAGAAAUCGUAUCUAGAGUGUAAAGGCAUAAGGAAGCUUGACUGUGAGACCUACAAGUCGAGCAGGGACGAAAGUCGGUCUUAGUGAUCUGACGGUACUGAGUGGAAAGGCCGUCACUCAACGGAUAAAAGUUACUCUAGGAUAACAGGCUGAUCUCCCCCAAGAGUUCACAUCGACGGGGAGGUUUGGCACCUUGAUGUCGGCUCAUCGCAUCCUGGGGCGGUAGUACGUCCCAAGGGUUGGGCUGUUCGCCCAUGAAAGCGGUACGCGAGCUGGGUUCAGAACGUCGUGAGACAGUUCGGUCCAUAUCCGGUGUAGGCGUUAGAAUAUUGAGAGGAGCCUUCUUUAGUACGAGAGGACCGAGAAGGACAUACCUCUGGUGUACCAGUUAUCGUGCCAACGGUAAACGCUGGGUAGCUAUGUAUGGAGUGGAUAACCGCUGAAAGCAUCUAAGUGGGAAGCCCACCUCAAGAUAAGUAUUCUCAU
Molecule: ribosomal RNA, 1243 nt
Filed under: metagenome
Description: bacterial LSU rRNA
Rfam family: Bacterial large subunit ribosomal RNA
Source: RNAcentral